UGAGGAAAACGUCGGAAUCUGCCUAUUUGUGGGGGAUAACGUAGGGAAACUUACGCUAAUACCGCAUACGACCUACGGGUGAAAGUGGGGGACCGCAAGGCCUCACGCAGAUAGAUGAGCCGACGUCGGAUUAGCUAGUUGGCGGGGUAAAGGCCCACCAAGGCGACGAUCCGUAGCUGGUCUGAGAGGAUGAUCAGCCACACUGGAACUGAGACACGGUCCAGACUCCUACGGGAGGCAGCAGUGGGGAAUAUUGGACAAUGGGCGCAAGCCUGAUCCAGCCAUGCCGCGUGUGUGAAGAAGGCCUUCGGGUUGUAAAGCACUUUUGUCCGGAAAGAAAAGCUUAGGGUUAAUAACCUUGAGUCAUGACGGUACCGGAAGAAUAAGCACCGGCUAACUUCGUGCCAGCAGCCGCGGUAAUACGAAGGGUGCAAGCGUUACUCGGAAUUACUGGGCGUAAAGCGUGCGUAGGUGGUUUGUUAAGUCUGAUGUGAAAGCCCUGGG
RNAcentral lists this ribosomal RNA (504 nucleotides) under uncultured bacterium. RNAcentral describes it as "bacterial SSU rRNA". It matches the Rfam family "Bacterial small subunit ribosomal RNA", at positions 107 to 607 of the family's 1533-position model. The record is from RNAcentral.